GAUGAACGCUGGCGGCGUGCCUAAUACAUGCAAGUCGAGCGAACAGACGAGGAGCUUGCUCCUUUGACGUUAGCGGCGGACGGGUGAGUAACACGUGGGUAACCUACCUAUAAGACUGGGAUAACUUCGGGAAACCGGAGCUAAUACCGGAUAAUAUUUCGAACCGCAUGGUUCGAUAGUGAAAGAUGGCUUUGCUAUCACUUAUAGAUGGACCUGCGCCGUAUUAGCUAGUUGGUAAGGUAACGGCUUACCAAGGCAACGAUACGUAGCCGACCUGAGAGGGUGAUCGGCCACACUGGAACUGAGACACGGUCCAGACUCCUACGGGAGGCAGCAGUAGGGAAUCUUCCGCAAUGGGCGAAAGCCUGACGGAGCAACGCCGCGUGAGUGAUGAAGGUCUUCGGAUCGUAAAACUCUGUUAUUAGGGAAGAACAAACGUGUAAGUAACUGUGCACGUCUUGACGGUACCUAAUCAGAAAGCCACGGCUAACUACGUGCCAGCAGCCGCGGUAAUACGUAGGUGGCAAGCGUUAUCCGGAAUUAUUGGGCGUAAAGCGCGCGUAGGCGGUUUUUUAAGUCUGAUGUGAAAGCCCACGGCUCACCCGUGGAGGGUCAUUGGAAACUGGAAAACUUGAGUGCAUAAGAGGAAAGUGGAAUUCCAUGUGUAGCGGUGAAAUGCGCAGAGAUAUGGAGGAACACCAGUGGCGAAGGCGACUUUCUGGUCUGUAACUGACGCUGAUGUGCGAAAGCGUGGGGAUCAAACAGGAUUAGAUACCCUGGUAGUCCACGCCGUAAACGAUGAGUGCUAAGUGUUAGGGGGUUUCCGCCCCUUAGUGCUGCAGCUAACGCAUUAAGCACUCCGCCUGGGGAGUACGACCGCAAGGUUGAAACUCAAAGGAAUUGACGGGGACCCGCACAAGCGGUGGAGCAUGUGGUUUAAUUCGAAGCAACGCGAAGAACCUUACCAAAUCUUGACAUCCUUUGACCCUUCUAGAGAUAGAAGUUUCCCCUUCGGGGGACAAAGUGACAGGUGGUGCAUGGUUGUCGUCAGCUCGUGUCGUGAGAUGUUGGGUUAAGUCCCGCAACGAGCGCAACCCUUAAGCUUAGUUGCCAUCAUUAAGUUGGGCACUCUAAGUUGACUGCCGGUGACAAACCGGAGGAAGGUGGGGAUGACGUCAAAUCAUCAUGCCCCUUAUGAUUUGGGCUACACACGUGCUACAAUGGACAAUACAAAGGGCAGCGAAACCGCGAGGUCAAGCAAAUCCCAUAAAGUUGUUCUCAGUUCGGAUUGUAGUCUGCAACUCGACUACAUGAAGCUGGAAUCGCUAGCAAUCGUAGAUCAGCAUGCUACGGUGAAUACGUUCCCGGGUCU
This 1372-nucleotide ribosomal RNA is filed under the name uncultured bacterium. RNAcentral's name for it is "bacterial SSU rRNA". It matches the Rfam family "Bacterial small subunit ribosomal RNA", at positions 28 to 1381 of the family's 1533-position model. The record is from RNAcentral.